CAACAUGGAACAACUUGGAGUUAUUUGGACAUCAAUUAUGAACUUUGUCAAAAGAAACCACAUUUGUAGUGGACCUGGGAUUUCUAGAAGUGCCAAUGGAUGAAGAUAAUCAAAGAAUGGACAGUGCCACAGCCUAAGAAGAAUUGUCCUCCAAAGAGACAAAGGUUUCCCACAAAGAAGGUGCAGGAUAUGUCUCCAGAAUUGGACCCAAAAGAGCAUUCUGGACAAUUUGAUUUUGAGAGGUUUGAGGAUGGACACACUGCAAAAAUCUUCCAAAGAUCUGAUAUUCUAGGAAUCCUGUAGCAGUGCUGGCAAUGCGUUCCAGUAGCUGCCUGUAAAACCCUCAAUAUCAGCUCUACUAGACUUCACUGGAACACUGCUGUAAAAUCAUUCCGCCUCCACCACAGUCCUCUACAGUGAAAGUCCACUUAUAAGAAAGCGAGCCAGAGAAAAGAAGAAGAGGUAAGGAGACAGAACACGCACAUACACUCCCCACUGGACAC
This 503-nucleotide long non-coding RNA is filed under the name Salmo salar (Atlantic salmon). RNAcentral's name for it is "lncRNA (ENSSSAG00000101031.1)". Lineage: Eukaryota; Metazoa; Chordata; Actinopteri; Salmoniformes; Salmonidae. The record is from RNAcentral.